RNAcentral lists this ribosomal RNA (207 nucleotides) under Escherichia coli. Its description in RNAcentral is "partial 23S ribosomal RNA". It matches the Rfam family "Bacterial large subunit ribosomal RNA", at positions 1 to 209 of the family's 2925-position model. Lineage: Bacteria; Pseudomonadati; Pseudomonadota; Gammaproteobacteria; Enterobacterales; Enterobacteriaceae. The record is from RNAcentral.
GUUAAGCGACUAAGCGUACACGGUGGAUGCCCUGGCAGUCAGAGGCGAUGAAGGACGUGCUAAUCUGCGAUAAGCGUCGGUAAGGUGAUAUGAACCGUUAUAACCGGCGAUUUCCGAAUGGGGAAACCCAGUGUGUUUCGACACACUAUCAUUAACUGAAUCCAUAGGUUAAUGAGGCGAACCGGGGGAACUGAAACAUCUAAGUAC